This is a long non-coding RNA of Sarcophilus harrisii (Tasmanian devil), 7816 nucleotides long. NCBI's taxonomy places the organism in Eukaryota, Metazoa, Chordata, Mammalia, Dasyuromorphia, Dasyuridae. The record is from Ensembl.
GUGUGGAUUCCAGAUACAAAAUUCAUGUACAAUAAUAGUUCACAAAUGAUGAAGGUAGUCACAUUCCUAGAGAACAUUUAUCAAUGAGAAAAUAGCUUUAAUACACUGACAGCAAAAAUCAAACCCUCCAUAAUCUUGUAUUUCAAUGCAAUAUAAACAGUACGAUACAUAGCUUUUUUUCAAGCACCUUGAAUGUGACAGAUGCUUUUCAAAAGAACAAAAUCUAGGAAAGACAUGGUCCUGCUGCCAUUAGCUCUGCAGAAUCACAGUGUUUUGUUUUUUUUACUUUUGAGUUCAUUUACUGAAGUACAAGGGUGAAUGAAGCACAGACUAUGAAAUAGCAAUAGUAACAGAUUUAAGAACUGGAAAAGUUUAUCUAAUGGGAUGAAACAAACUGGAAACAUUUGUUAACAGUAUGGCUUAAGCAACUGAGAUGCUUCAACAUACAAGGCCUAUACAAUAUCACAAAUGUAAGAUAUCAGAUUUUCAUGUCAAAUAUAUGAACUGGUACUGACAAAGCAACAUUUUUUUAGUUACUGGUAGCAAUAUUUCCUCAAAAUUGAAUCUGACAACACAUUGUGAAAUGAAUGAAUCCAGAUAACUGCCACCUGAUGAGACUAAGUUAAUGGGCUUGAUUUUUCAAGUCAUUUUUAAAAAUACAUGAUUCCUUAAAGUUUUAACACAAAUGGGCAAACAAGACAAUGUAUCAAAGAUUACAGAGACUGAGAAUGCUAAGUAGGUUCUUACACUUACAGUUACAUCAUAUGCACUACAGACUUGCAGCACUUAAAAAAGGAUUGAAACCAUGUAAAAUUUUUUGUGCUUCAGUCUCUUCUGGAGAGCUCCUAAAAGAUAUACAGGUGUAUAAUCCUUAUAACUUGUUCCACAAUUCAGAAACAUUUCAGUUAUAGACAAGUAUUUGCCACAGUAAAAAAAAAAUAUAUAUCACUAGGAAAUCAAGUUAUCAUGAUUUCCAAAUAUAAUUAUGUAUAUAAACAAAAAAGUAUUAAUUUCUAAUAACCACAGUAUGAGGAAAAAAGUUUACAAUAAUUUCCAUGAAAAACAGAUGCAACUAUAUUUUUAGUUAUUACAUGGCUAUCUUGAGGUUUAAUGAGUUUUACAUGAAUGAGGUAAAAUCUCAAUCAUUCCAUGUAGACUCUGGUGUACUAUGAAGAACACUAAAGAUAAGAGUCAAAUGACCCAUGUUUUAAUCCCUUGUUCUGUCAUUUAUUACAUUUGUGGUCUUAGACAAAGUCCCAAUAUCCCUGACUUUGUUUCUUUACCUUAAAAAGAUGGAUAUUUGCUCUACUUAUGCAAAUAUAAGGGAUGAUAAUGAACAGCCUGCACUUACUGUCCUCAAUAGAUUAGGCUAUUGCUGAUUCCUUUAAACAUUAGGUUCUAGAUAAUUGAUUAGGCCCAAUCAUCAAGAUGAAGGUAGAUAACCCAAAUACAUGUGACAGCAUAUUUCAUUGUCAUCUUGCCAACUGAAAUGUAAAUAUCGAGAGAAAGCUCUGGCAAGGUGGAUAGGAGCUGGACUUAGGAGCGAGCAAAGGUUGGGUUCAAGACUUGUCUCAAAUAUUUUCAGUAAUCUUGGGUCAGCUGCUUAACCUUUCAUUGCUGUCAGCCACUCCUUAAGAGUAUAAAUUGCAAAACAAAUGCUCAUCUGCACUUAUAUGGAACGUACCCUAAGAAAGCUCCCUAAUAUGGUAAAAUAAAUGGUGAAAAAAAAGUUUUCAGAAAUUAUGUUUCCCAUUACUUAAGGUCUUUCCAUCUCGAUAACAAUUUUCAAAAUUUUUGAUCCUUUUCCUCAUAUGUAAAAUGGGCUUAAUAACUACAUUCUUUAUUUCACAGAGUUGUUGUAAGGAACUGUUUCAUACAUCUCCAAGUAUUAAAAGUAGAAAUGUAAGUUAUUCUUUCUCUUCAGAAUGGUUUACUGACCAAUGGUAAGUUCUGUGGAAACAGAAAGCACUCAUAGAACCAGGAAUAAGAGUUUAAAUGACUCUAUAAAGAAUGCAUUCAGGUCAGUGUAAAAAGAAAAGUCCUAAAAUAUUACUUUAGAGGCAUAAAUAAACAAUUCUACAUAAUGACAAUAUAAGAAAUAGCUUUUAAUCUUGAAUCAUGAAAAAGAAAAAUCCUCUUUUCUUGCUAACCGAGUCUCAGGGAUUGCUUCUCACCCAAAACAGCCUAAAAGGAACUUAUUAGGCUAUCUUUUUGCAAUUUCUUUAAUGUGUUUUAAAGGAAGAAAAGAUGGAGGAUAUAUUGGGUAAAUUUAUUUUAACAAAAUGAUCUUUUCUAUUCAGAAUUCUCUCCCCUGGGGUUAUCAACUUCCAUUCUUAAAUGCUGGCCUAUUAUAUCAUUAUGUUCAAGAAAGUUUAAAAUAUAUAGAACAUAGCAUUGGCAUUCUUAAGUUUUCAAAUACUGAGGAAGGAGAGGAUUCAGAAUAGUCCUAAAAGCAAAUGGAAAUUAGGUAGGUGAAAAAAACUAAGUUUUAAGAUCUCACUUCCAGGAGUAAGACCUAAGUUUUUUCUUCAUAAAUUCUCUAAAGUUAGUUUGAAAAUGGUAUAAUAUCAUGGGGGUAGGUAGGUGAUGCAGUGGAUGAGGAUUGAGUGAAUAGAGAAUUAGGAAGACCUGAGUUCAAAUCCAACCAUAGUCCUUUACUAGUUAGUGUGUGGCUAGUAAAUGGACAAGACUGGGCAAGUCACUUAACUCCAACUACUUUAGCCGCCCUCCCAAUAGUAUAGUAUUCAAGGAGCCUAGUUAUAUAUUUUAUUUAUGAUAUUGGACCCAGAAAUCCCUAGCACUUUUUACUCUUUGUAUGUAAGUGAUUACUGAUUUUAGGAUAUCAACCAUGUCCAGAAAGAAAAAAUUCACAACUGAAAAUUAGUUGGCAGACCAAAAAUAACUUUAAAAGAAAAAGAAGAAACUACUAUACAAACAUUUUAUGUUUUAAAAAUGUCUUUGCUUAUCAAACUGAUAAAAUAAAAGAAAACAUCAUGUGAAAUUUUAAAAUGAUAUUUCAAUCAAGUGUUCAAGUAACAUUGUCAAGUAGAAAUGGAACCCCCCCCAAAAAUCAAUACUACACAGCAAUUUGAAAUGAAAAAUAAAAUCAAUAAUCAAAAGCAUAAACGUGUUUCAUAUAUACAGUUUCAAAUAAAAUGUUUUAAUGCUGCAGAAAAUCAGUCCCACUUAAUUUAAAACAUUUUUAUUUUCUUAAAGGUAUUUUCUCCACACUUUUUCUUAAUACUCUUUUCCUUGCUACUGAGUUGGUGACUGAUUUUAUUUACAUACACACAUGCCCAUGCACAUAUACUGCUUUCCCCAUUCUACAAUAGUUUUAUGUAUACAAACCCCAAUGAGACCACAAUGAGACAUUAUGAUUUUCAGAUUUUUAACUCAACUGCAGGAACUAGUAAAAAGGAAAGAAGAAUCAAUAUUUGAAAGGAAAUUGGGGAGGCAGCACCUUCAUUUACGAAGUACUAAUUUAUAAAAAGUACAGAAAACUAUAAGGAAGGAAAGACUUGUUUUCCUAGGGUAUGGAUUUCAAAUCUGUGCUCUACUAAAUGCAAAAAAUAAGAACUAGCCUUCCAACUUUUGGGCCAAAGGAAUAUAUCACAAUAGGAAUUAUUAGCUUAUCUACCCAGUACUUUUUGUAGUUACUGUUCUCAAAAGAAAAUCCAUACUGAAGGCAAAUCAUUUUCAUUAAACUAAAUAAAAUAUCCCUCAUUUUUUUGGUAUUCAAUUGCAAUGUCUUACUUUUUCUUACAGAAACAAAAUAUGAAUUAAAUAUCUGCACUAAUUUGCAGGUAUGUGAAAUUCUAAAAUUCCUUUAUUAAGAACAAAAAACUGCUAAGUAUUUGAAUCAUCACUUUCAAUUAUAUUUUAUAACUGAAAACAUUACAAAUUUUGCCUGUUAGCACAGCAAAAAAACCCAAAAAACAAAAAACAAAGAAACAACAAUAACUAACAAUUUGGGAAAUAAAUUUUUUUCUCAAUCAAUAAAAGAGAAUUGGUUGAUUGAAGUUUCAUUUUGUAAAAAUUACAACUAAUCUAAAUUUCUAUAAUGAAAGCACCUCAAAUGCAAAGCAAAUACUGAGCAUCUCUUGAACUAUUCCAUGCAAAUAUACAUGCUGUCUAAAGAUGGUGGUAUCUUCCAAAUCAUUUAACAUUGCAUGAUCAACUGUAUUCCAAGGUCUAAAAUGGGCAUAAGAUCACAAAGCUAUCCAUUAUUCUUGCUGGAGUCCAGUAAUUUUUUUUCCCUCUUCAGUUUUGGGUGGUUAUCAACAGCAAUAUCCGAUAUUACUACAUACCUAACACUAGGGGGACCCAAUUUCAGCUCUCAAGUUAACCAAAUGAAGGCACUAAAUGGUUUCACAGAGAAACCAACUUUUACACUAUUUCUUUCUAAUUAUUGGAGACUGGCAUUGUUUAAUCUAAACACACCUAACACUAAUUUAAAUGGUGUCCUAUCCAAUUGCUAUUUUUGAUCUAAACAGAAGGCUUUACAAUGAAAAAUGUCAAGAUGGGUAUAUCCCCAAUUGCUGUAAGUACAGACUGUUUCAGAACAAGCAGAAACUGGUGAAAUUGCAGCUCACCUACCUUAAGCAUUUUUUCCUAGGGCUGCCCCGAAAGCAGAAGUCAGAAAAUAGUAAAUGUCCUCCCUGCCUCACCAAGAUGCACACAGAUAAAAACAAAGCACAGGAAAAAAGAAAAAAAAAAAAAAAAUUAAAUCCAGUAUCAGGUUUCAGUGCAGUUGGGAAAUAAUUUUCCUUUUUUAAAGAACAAGUGACCUUUCAUAUUCAAAUGUUAUCCACACUCCCAUAAUAAAGGCCCUAAUGGGUGUCCACUAAGUACAAAUGAUAUCUCACUUCAUAUCAGGAAAUAAGAGACUUAAACAGUACCAGCAAGUGCCCUCAUUUAAGAUGUGAAUCAUUUCAGAUACCCAGUCUCCAGAUAUAUUUCACAAAUUUAUCAAAAACUUAAAUGAGAAUUCCUGAUUAUUUGCAAAAUGUGAAAGAAGGGCUCUUUUGCUGAGAUUGUCUGGUUCUAAUUUUAAUUUCCAAUUAUUGACCCAAACACGAGCCCCUCAAAAUAGAGGCUCUUGAAAGGAUUACAGCCACCACCUUUAUAAGCACAGCAUGAAUGAUGCCAUUCUGACGUCCUCAAUGAACAAAAAUAGAUUCAUGCCACAAGAGCCAUGUGGUAUAUAAUAUACACAUACUGUAUCACUUCAUACCAAUGUAUUUACAAAUAUAUACACAUAUACAUACAUGUACACACACAAGAUUGCAUCAAGCAUCACAAAAAUAUAUAUACGUAUAUAUCAUUACAAGGAAAAAGAUUUAAAAUAAAUAAUGGCAACUAUAGAAUCACAGUCCCUCAAAAGGAUACUGCAUACUUUCCCAACACGUGAAUGCACACACACACAUACAAGCAUAUAUAAACCCACUCAACAUGCCAUAAUCAACUAAUAGGAAAGCCCUAGUAUCAUUCAUAUCAAAGUCAAAAUAACUUGGGUUUACCUAAGUCUGUUAGUGGAGCAAUAGCAUGAACCAGCUAAAAAGAAGUGCCCCACAAAUUCAGUUAUCAUUGUUCUGCACUUAGUAUGCUUUUAAAUCCUGGAACUGAGUAGGGCUACACAGAGUGGUGUUUAUAAAUUUCUAUUGAACAGAAUGGAACACAUCUCAUUUUGAUCAGGGUUAGCUGCAUGCAACUUUGGUGCCAGUUCUCCCACAAAGAAUUGUCAACACAAUCUAAUGCCCUCUUAAAGGCAAUCAAUCACUCAGAAAAUAAUUAACUUACAGUAAGCAGGGCUAAUUGGCAAGGACAGAUAUAUGACAGAAAGGAAUUGGUUGAGAAAGUUUGAUUACUAAUCUAUCCGCAGGACCCACUCCAAAUCAGGUGUGCUCUUUCCAUCUGUGCCACACAAAUACAAUAUAAUUCUUAUCUAUUUCAGGGAAUUAAAACGCAAGAAAAAAAAAAAAAAAAAGAAAAAUGAAUCCUAUGAGAGAAAUUGACUGGGACUUAGGUAUUUUACAUCGACAGACUCCAAAAUGUUUCAGCUUGGUAAAACUUAUGGAAGGUACAAAAAAGAUCAAAUGUGCUAAUGCUUUUUUCAGUUUUUAAUGUCAAGCUCCUAUCUUUUUAGGAAAUACACUUCAAAAACGAAUCUUGCCCUGCUAAAAAUAAAUUCAUGCAAGUUUAAGUAUGUCACUUUACUCCUAAGCAAAAAAUAAAUAAAUAAAUAACUUGCAUAUGUAUGCUGAAUUUUCAGUUUCUCAAUUUCACACAACUGUUUUUGAAUCAGUGUUUUGUGCAAUUUGACCAAAACAAACAAACAAACAAAAAACACCUCACAAGUUCUAAAGCAAGUGCCACGGCUAAAAAAAAAACAAAACAAAACAAAACAAAAAAACUCUAUAGAAGUGUAUAGUCUAGUGUGAAAAAAUGCUGGGAUGAUAGUUAAAAUUUCCUUGAUUCUGGAUCUGGCUCCAGCACUAAACAUGUGAUUUUAAAUGAGUAUCAAAGACUCUGGGGUCCAGUUUCUUUACCUGGAAAAACAGGAAUAAUACAUAUCUUAUUUGCCUUAAAGUUAUAAGGAUAAAAUAUUAUUAUCAAUUAAUUGAAAACAUCAUACAAAUAUCAUUAUUACUAUAGUUAUUAUGAAAAUUAGUAGUGAUAAAACUAUUGUGCUUAAAAUUUAUUUUGUGGAGUCCUGAUUUUGUAGUUUUUAGUAUCUUUCUAUUCUUUUCAUGAUUCCUUUCAAUAUCCAUUUAGAGAUCAACUAUUACCAAGAGAAAACUGCUACAAAACAGCAAAAUGUAUUUUAACCCAAGGAGCAAAAUUGUGCAUCAAUCUUUGUUGGAAUAAAUAUGCUUAGGUAAGCAGUCCUUAUUGCUUGGUUAUUGACCCUGGUUGAAGAUUUCUAGCAUUAACAGGGGCAUGGACUGCUUCUGGAGCAUGAAAAUAGUAUUUAUGCAUUUAAAUUACAAGUAUUUGCUCAGAACAUCAUUCUCUUUUUGAAAUAAAUAGCUGUCUUAGAAUUAUAGUGCUGCAAGAGACCUCAGGGAGCACCUAGUACAACUUCAUUUUAAAAAAGAAAACUAAGACCAGGUAGAAGUGACUAAAAGCUCAGUAUUAAUCAACUGAAUGACAUGGCAACCAAAAACAAAUGCUGCAAUCUCUGGAUUGUAUUUACAAAAAAAGCAUAGUGUACAGAAUGAUGUACUUUGCCCUUGUCAGUAUGCAUGUAUUGAGUUCCAGGUACCACAUUUUAUGAAGGAUAUUGACAAAUUGGAAUACAGAUAAAGGAGGGUAAAUGGAAUGGUGAGAAGAUGUCAGAACGAGCCAGAGAAGAUAUAAGUGAUGUUUAGCUAGAAGAGACUUCUGAGAGAGAACUAAUGGCCAGGCUCAAGGAUUUAGUUUUGUCCUGCCCAAUUCUCCAAGGCAUAAAUAGGAGCAUUAAAUGGAAGUUAAAAAGACAAAUUUAGGCUUUACAUAAAGGAACACUUUCUAAUAGUAUGAGCAGUCCAAAAGUAGGAUGAGUUGCCUCAGGAGGUAGUUGGUUCAGUGUCACCAGAGGUGUUCAAGUGAAGAUCAAAUCACUACUUGUUGGAGAAAUUGUAGAGAAAAUUCAUUUUCAGGCAUGGGUUGGACUAAAUGACUUCUGAGGUUCAAAUCAGAUUUUAUUUUUUGCCUAGUUAACCAAAGGCACGGUCCUGGUAGUCCAGGCUCCUGGCUUUGAGAAUAGUGUUCUUCAUAUACACAACAAAAUUAGAAUACUGCUUUGGGUAAGCGGUCUUUCAAACUUUGCCAAAAU